GCGGCGGCUGAAGAGACAGAUCCCGGUCCCGCCGACUCGCGAGCGGCGUCUCCGGCAGCGGGGGGAGUGGGCGGGCGGGUCCCACAAACUGCAAGGAAAAGAAAAACCCUCAACAGGAAUUACCUUUAUACCUGAUGCCCCCAACAUAAUCUCUCUCCAAGGGAAACGUGUUUUUAUUGCCUUGCGGCUGAAAAUGUAUUCUCGAUUCUCCCCCUUCUCUCUUUUGUUGUGCAUUUUUUGGAUGUGGUAAAACUGGCAGUUUAUCUGAUUAUCUGGUUUUCAGAACUUUGGGCGAUGUCUCUGAGUGUCAUCAGUUGCUCUCUAGGUUUGACAUAGAUAAUUAAGCAACUACAAAGCGUGAUAAAGCUUUUGAGAGGGAGGAAAAUGUAUUUUGGAAGGAGGGAGAGACGCAAAGAG
RNAcentral lists this long non-coding RNA (417 nucleotides) under Homo sapiens (human). RNAcentral's name for it is "non-protein coding lnc-MSH6-2:2". The record is from RNAcentral. Lineage: Eukaryota; Metazoa; Chordata; Mammalia; Primates; Hominidae.